This 263-nucleotide long non-coding RNA is filed under the name Trifolium pratense (red clover). RNAcentral's name for it is "long non-coding RNA (TPRA_LNC004249)". Lineage: Eukaryota; Viridiplantae; Streptophyta; Magnoliopsida; Fabales; Fabaceae. The record is from RNAcentral.
AAGAUAAACUUUCUACAAUUGAAUUCUUAACUAGUGCCCCUGGGGCACUAUUUAGCAUUUGCCUAAAAAAAAUGUAAAAACUAUAAAUAAGAACACCUCAAUUUUAACUUGAAAAACUCUCGAUAUGAGAAUAAAAAACCGCGGGUCUUUUCUUUUUUUUUUUCUUUCUUUUACACUUGAAGUGGGAUCCACAUUCACUUUGAACCUCUCGGCUGCCUCUCAUAAUCUUUCAGAGGAAUAUCAUCUUCUCUUAAUUUCAUCCU